RNAcentral lists this ribosomal RNA (716 nucleotides) under uncultured bacterium. RNAcentral's name for it is "bacterial SSU rRNA". It matches the Rfam family "Bacterial small subunit ribosomal RNA", at positions 635 to 1350 of the family's 1533-position model. The record is from RNAcentral.
GCCAGACUUGAGUGCGGAAGAGGAUGGGGGAAUUCCUGGUGUAGCGGUGAAAUGCGUAAAUAUCAUGAGGAACACCGGUGGCGAAGGCGCCCAUCUGGUCCGUUACUGACGCUGAUGCGCGAAAGCUAGGGGAGCGAACGGGAUUAGAUACCCCGGUAGUCCUAGCCGUAAACGGUGGGCACUAGGUGUUGGAGGCAUCGACCCUUCCAGUGCCGCAGCUAACGCAUUAAGUGCCCCGCCUGGGGAGUACGGCCGCAAGGUUGAAACUCAAAGGAAUUGACGGGGGCCCGCACAAGCGGUGGAGCAUGUGGUUCAAUUCGACGCAACGCGAAGAACCUUACCCAGGCUUGACAUGCACCGGACCGGUGUGGAAACACACUUUUCCUUCGGGACUGGUGUACAGGUGCUGCAUGGCUGCCGUCAGCUCGUGUCGUGAGAUGUUGGGUUAAGUCCCGCAACGAGCGCAACCCUUGCCCUUAGUUGCUAACGAGUAAAGUCGAGCACUCUAGGGGGACUGCCGGCGGUAAGCCGGAGGAAGGUGGGGACGACGUCAAGUCCUCAUGGCCCUUACGCCUGGGGCUACACACGUGCUACAAUGACCGACACAGAGGGCUGCGAUACCGCGAGGUGGAGCUAAUCCCAAAAAGUCGGCCUCAGUUCGGAUUGCAGUCUGCAACUCGACUGCAUGAAGGUGGAAUCGCUAGUAAUCGCUGAUC